Transfer RNA from Felis catus (domestic cat), 85 nucleotides. It matches the Rfam family "tRNA". Rfam says of the family: Transfer RNA (tRNA) molecules are approximately 80 nucleotides in length. Their secondary structure includes four short double-helical elements and three loops (D, anti-codon, and T loops). NCBI's taxonomy places the organism in Eukaryota, Metazoa, Chordata, Mammalia, Carnivora, Felidae. The record is from Rfam.
GCCUGGGUGGCUCAGUCAGUUGAGCAUCUGACUUCGGCUCAGGUCAUGAUCUCACAGUCUGUGGAUUCAAGCCCCACGUCGGGCU